RNAcentral lists this long non-coding RNA (565 nucleotides) under Ananas comosus (pineapple). RNAcentral's name for it is "long non-coding RNA (ACOM_LNC003589)". The record is from RNAcentral. Lineage: Eukaryota; Viridiplantae; Streptophyta; Magnoliopsida; Poales; Bromeliaceae.
AAAAUGGAUAAUAGUUAAUUUUAUACUUUUGUUUUGAAAGAUAUUUUACUUGCUGAGACAGAGUUAAAAGGUUGGUUAGUUGUUGUGUCACGCCCCGGGACCGGCGGAGGCCCUCCCGGUAGCGUGCCCAGACCCGCCAUAUGUCUACACAUAUAAGGCGUCUACAAGAAAGCAGAAGUAAAAGCAAGAAAUAGAAUAAAUGGAAGAAGUAAAAUAACUAGCAACUAGUGAUAUCAGAGAGAGUAAAGUUCUAUCAUCUACACCAGAGUAAAGAAAUAAAGCUAGACAAUAAAAGAAACCAUAAGUAGUACACUAUCAGUCUCAAAAGUACAAAAAUGGUGGUCUCUAGUACACUGGUACAGCUAUCAACCUCUCCAAAAAGAAAUACAUCGAGAGGUAGACCACCUAAACUCGUCUCUCGCUGAAGGGCUAACUCGAAGCGACGCCUUUACCACGGUCCCUAGCCUCUCCCGGUGUGGAAAGCUCUGAAAGAAAACAUAAAACAGAGGGCGUGAGAACUAUAAUUUAUAGUUCCCAGUGGGCAAUUACUGACCUCAGCUCAAUG